GCACAAGCGGCGGAGCAUGUGGAUUAAUUCGAUGCAACGCGAAGAACCUUACCUGGGUUUGACAUACACCAGACGCUGGUAGAGAUAUCAGUUCCCUUGUGGUUGGUGUACAGGUGGUGCAUGGCUGUCGUCAGCUCGUGUCGUGAGAUGUUGGGUUAAGUCCCGCAACGAGCGCAACCCUUGUCCUGUAUUGCCAGCGGGUUAUGCCGGGGACUUGCAGGAGGCUGCCGGGGUCAACUCGGAGGAAGGUGGGGAUGACGUCAAGUCAUCAUGCCCCUUAUGUCCAGGGCUUCACACAUGCUACAAUGGCCGGUACAGAGGGCUGCGAUACCGUGAGGUGGAGCGAAUCCCUUAAAGCCGGUCUCAGUUCGGAUCGGGGUCUGCAACUCGACCCCGUGAAGUCGGAGUCGCUAGUAAUCGCAGAUCAGCAACGCUGCGGUGAAUACGUUCCCGGGCCUUGUACACACCGCCCGUCACGUCAUGAAAGUCGGUAACACCCGAAGCCGGUGGCCUAACCCUUGUGGAGGGAGCCGUCGAAGGUGGGAUCGGCGAUUGGGACGA
This 561-nucleotide ribosomal RNA is filed under the name uncultured bacterium. Its description in RNAcentral is "bacterial SSU rRNA". It matches the Rfam family "Bacterial small subunit ribosomal RNA", at positions 923 to 1483 of the family's 1533-position model. The record is from RNAcentral.